RNAcentral lists this ribosomal RNA (427 nucleotides) under uncultured prokaryote. Its description in RNAcentral is "bacterial SSU rRNA". It matches the Rfam family "Bacterial small subunit ribosomal RNA", at positions 355 to 774 of the family's 1533-position model. The record is from RNAcentral.
UGGGGAAUUUUGGACAAUGGGCGCAAGCCUGAUCCAGCCAUGCCGCGUGAGUGAAGAAGGCCUUCGGGUUGUAAAGCUCUUUCGGCGGGGAAGAAAUGGCGCUUUCUAAUACAGAGCGUUGAUGACGGUACCCGCAUAAGAAGCACCGGCUAACUACGUGCCAGCAGCCGCGGUAAUACGUCGGGUGCGAGCGUUAAUCGGAAUUACUGGGCGUAAAGCGUGCGCAGGCGGUUGUGUAAGUCAGAUGUGAAAUCCCCGGGCUCAACCUGGGAACUGCAUUUGAAACUGCACGGCUAGAGUGUGACAGAGGUGAGUAGAAUUCCACGUGUAGCAGUGAAAUGCGUAGAGAUGUGGAGGAAUACCGAUGGCGAAGGCAGCCCCCUGGGUUACUACUGACGCUCAUGCACGAAAGCGUGGGGAGCAAACA